AGACCCGAAACCCGGUGAUCUAGCCAUGGGCAGGUUGAAGGUUGGGUAACACUAACUGGAGGACCGAACCGACUAAUGUUGAAAAAUUAGCGGAUGACCUGUGGCUGGGGGUGAAAGGCCAAUCAAACCGGGAGAUAGCUGGUUCUCCCCGAAAGCUAUUUAGGUAGCGCCUCGUGAAUUCAUCUCCGGGGGUAGAGCACUGUUUCGGCUAGGGGGCCAUCCCGGCUUACCAACCCGAUGCAAACUGCGAAUACCGGAGAAUGUUAUCACGGGAGACACACGGCGGGUGCUAACGUCCGUCGUGAAGAGGGAAACAACCCAGACCGCCAGCUAAGGUCCCAAAGUCAUGGUUAAGUGGGAAACGAUGUGGGAAGGCCCAGACAGCCAGGAUGUUGGCUUAGAAGCAGCCAUCAUUUAAAGAAAGCGUAAUAGCUCACUGGUCGAGUCGGCCUGCGCGGAAGAUGUAACGGGGCUAAACCAUGCACCGAAGCUGCGGCAGCGAACGUAUCACUUAAAGCGAUUCAGCGGGUUACGAUUGACGGAGCGAAGCGACGUCAAAGCGUAUACAAAGUCGAGUCGGUUUAAGGAUACGUUCGUUGGGUAGGGGAGCGUUCUGUAAGCCUGUGAAGGUGGCCUGUGAGGGUUGCUGGAGGUAUCAGAAGUGCGAAUGCUGACAUAAGUAACGAUAAAGCGGGUGAAAAGCCCGCUCGCCGGAAGACCAA
This 722-nucleotide ribosomal RNA is filed under the name Salmonella enterica. Its description in RNAcentral is "partial 23S ribosomal RNA". It matches the Rfam family "Bacterial large subunit ribosomal RNA", at positions 711 to 1348 of the family's 2925-position model. The record is from RNAcentral. Lineage: Bacteria; Pseudomonadati; Pseudomonadota; Gammaproteobacteria; Enterobacterales; Enterobacteriaceae.